RNAcentral lists this ribosomal RNA (597 nucleotides) under Saccharomyces cerevisiae (brewer's yeast). Its description in RNAcentral is "partial large subunit ribosomal RNA". It matches the Rfam family "Eukaryotic large subunit ribosomal RNA", at positions 86 to 775 of the family's 3401-position model. Lineage: Eukaryota; Fungi; Ascomycota; Saccharomycetes; Saccharomycetales; Saccharomycetaceae. The record is from RNAcentral.
ACGGCGAAGUGAAGCGGCAAAAGCUCAAAUUUUGAAAUCCCCCGGGAAUUUGUAAUUUGAAGAGAUUUGGGUCCGGCCGGCAGGGGUUAAGUCCACUGGAAAGUGGCGCCACAGAGGGUGACAGCCCCGUGAACCCCUCUAAAGCUUUUAUCCCAGAUCUCCAAGAGUCGAGUUGUUUGGGAAUGCAGCUCUAAGUGGGUGGUAAAUUCCAUCUAAAGCUAAAUACCGGCGAGAGACCGAUAGCGAACAAGUACAGUGAUGGAAAGAUGAAAAGCACUUUGAAAAGAGAGUGAAAAAGUACGUGAAAUUGUUGAAAGGGAAGGGCUUGCAAGCAGACACUUAACUGGGCCAGCAUCGGGGCGGCGGGAAACAAAACCACCGGGGAAUGUACCUUUCGAGGAUUAUAACCCCGGUCUCUAUUUCCUUGUUGCCCCGAGGCCUGCAAUCUAAGGAUGCUGGCGUAAUGGUUGCAAGUCGCCCGUCUUGAAACACGGACCAAGGAGUCUAACAAUCAUGCAAGUGUUUGGGCCCAAAACCCAUACGCGCAAUGAAAGUAACCGGAGCGAACCUUCUGGUGCAGCUCCAGCCACACCGAGA